UACAGAGGUGGCAAGCGUUGUUCGGAAUUACUGGGCGUAAAGGGCGCGUAGGCGGCCAUCUAAGUCAGACGUGAAAUCCCCCGGCUCAACCUGGGAACUGCGUCUGAUACUGGGAGGCUAGAGUUUGGGAGAGGGAUGUAGAAUUCCAGGUGUAGCGGUGAAAUGCGUAGAUAUCGGGAAGAACACCCGUGGCGAAGGCGGCUCUCUGGAACGCAACUGACGCUGAGACGCGAAAGCGUGGGGAGCAAACAGG
This 253-nucleotide ribosomal RNA is filed under the name uncultured bacterium. Its description in RNAcentral is "partial 16S ribosomal RNA". It matches the Rfam family "Bacterial small subunit ribosomal RNA", at positions 524 to 776 of the family's 1533-position model. The record is from RNAcentral.